UUGAACGCUGGCGGCAUGCUUUACACAUGCAAGUCGAACGGUAACAGGCCUUCGGGUGCUGACGAGUGGCGAACGGGUGAGUAAUGCAUCGGAACGUGCCCAAUCGUGGGGGAUAACGUAGCGAAAGUUACGCUAAUACCGCAUACGCCCUGAGGGGGAAAGCAGGGGAUCUUCGGACCUUGUGCGAAUGGAGCGGCCGAUGUCAGAUUAGCUAGUUGGUGGGGUAAAGGCCCACCAAGGCGACGAUCUGUAGCUGGUCUGAGAGGACGACCAGCCACACUGGAACUGAGACACGGUCCAGACUCCUACGGGAGGCAGCAGUGGGGAAUUUUGGACAAUGGGGGCAACCCUGAUCCAGCCAUUCCGCGUGAGUGAAGAAGGCCUUCGGGUUGUAAAACUCUUUCGGCAGGAACGAAACGGUGAGCUCUAACAUAGCUUGCUAAUGACGGUACCUGAAGAAGAAGCACCGGCUAACUACGU
This 480-nucleotide ribosomal RNA is filed under the name uncultured bacterium. Its description in RNAcentral is "bacterial SSU rRNA". It matches the Rfam family "Bacterial small subunit ribosomal RNA", at positions 30 to 506 of the family's 1533-position model. The record is from RNAcentral.